RNAcentral lists this non-coding RNA (118 nucleotides) under Clostridium sp. RNAcentral describes it as "SAM-I sequence". It matches the Rfam family "SAM riboswitch aptamer (S box leader)". From Rfam's summary of the family: The SAM riboswitch is found upstream of a number of genes which code for proteins involved in methionine or cysteine biosynthesis in Gram-positive bacteria. The record is from RNAcentral. RNAcentral also lists the same sequence under 1 other name. Lineage: Bacteria; Bacillati; Bacillota; Clostridia; Eubacteriales; Clostridiaceae.
CCCUUAUUCAGAGUGAUGGAGAUACAAAGGAUCUGAGAAGUCACGGCAACCCCAGAAGAAUGGAAGGUGCCAGCCUGAGCGAGGAACCGCAGACGCGCGGCAAAUCGAGCAAUAAGAG